Long non-coding RNA from Anthonomus grandis grandis, 1957 nucleotides. RefSeq lists it as uncharacterized. The transcript is spliced from 2 exons. Lineage: Eukaryota; Metazoa; Arthropoda; Insecta; Coleoptera; Curculionidae. The record is from RefSeq and is a predicted model, not a curated record.
UAAAUAAUGGGACAGUAUCAAGUCACGAGUUAAAAAUGAUACCAGAUAAGACAAGUUGGCUGCAAAAACAAUUAAUAAACAAAUGCAAUUAAUAAACAGUUGCCAGGGGCGACAGACACAUUUGUUUAUUUUGAAAUUGCUUCUCUGUCAGUUUGGGUAACUCAAACACUUCUUUAUUAAUUAAAAUGGCGCGUGGUAUCUCGACAAAUUCAAAAAUUCGCGAGUUGGUGGUUAAAAAUUAUUCCCGAAACAAGAGAAUACGUGAGGUGGCGGACGAACUAAAUAUUCCUAAAAGUACUGUGUUUAAUAUAAUAAAGGAUUAUGGGGAAAAUGGAGGAAUUUUACAUAAGAAAAGGAAUAGCCCAGGUCGCCCAAAAUUAGUUUCUGAUAGAGAUAAAAGAAUGCUUGGUAAAUUAUGCAAAAAAGGUCGAAGAAAUACGGUACGGCAGGUAACGGCAGAGUGGAAUCAUGAAACUGGGCAUAAUUUGUCAAGAGAAUGUUGUCGCAAGUGGAUUCAUAAAUGCGGAUUGAAGUUUUACAAGGCAAAGGAAAACCCACUUUUAACAGCAAAACAAAAGAAUGCCAGGCUGAUAUGGGCAAAAUCUAAAUUGUCCUGGCCAGUAGAAGAUUGGUCCCGCGUAAUUUUUAGCGACGAAUCAAAAUUCAACGUAUGUGUUGGUGAUUACCGAAAACGUGUGAUUCGCACAAAAGAUGAGGCUUUCCAUAAGGACUGUUUAAAACGCACCGUAAAGUUUCCUAAAGGAAUAAUGAUUUGGGGUUGCAUGACACUUGGAGGAUUAGGGUUUUGAGUUUAUAGAGAGCACCGUAAAUGCUGCAAAAUAUCAACAAAUUCUACAAAAUAGCCUACUUCCAAGUAUCCCGAAAUUAACAGUUAAUGAAAAUUACAUAUUUCAGCAGGAUGUGGCUGCAUGUCACACGGCCAAAACUACAAAAAAGUGGUUUGGGGACCACCGCAUAAACUGCCUUUUUUGGCCUUCUAACAGCCCAGACCUUAAUGUCAUUGAAACAGUAUGGCAUAAAAUGAAAGAGACAUUAAGGAACAACCCUCAAAGAACAUUGCCAGAACUUAAGGCCAAAAUAGAGCAGAUUUGGAAUGAAUUUACCCCCGAACAGUGUAAUUCCUUAGUCCAAUCAAUGCCCAAAAGAAUUCAAGCAGUUAUACAAUCUAAGGGCGACGUUACUCCAUUUUAAAAAUUGAAGUUCGCGUUUGUCCCAUUAUUUAGUUGCCACCCAAUAUUAGCAUUUUUUAAAUAAUUUGGUGUGUUAGAAUAGAUAUUUUGUGUUUUUGCGUUCCUAAUGAAUCGAUUUUGUCAUAAAUUAACUGUUUAAAGAAUAUUACAUUAAAAAAAAGCUUAGUUAGUUUAGAAAAUAGAAGUCUAUUAAAAAUUAAAUCACAUGUGUAUUUUAGUUUGUCCCAAUAUGUAGUUGUAGGGCUCGUAUAUCUAUUUGUUUUUUUUUUUACUCAAAAGCAUCCAAUUCUUCAAACAAUUGAUAACUCGUUGACGCAGAUCUUUACCCCGUACCAGUACUGUGUAAACUUUUUUAAUAAAUAAUAAUAACGAAGAGGUGUUAGAUACGGCGAUCUCGCGGGCGAGUGCCUUGUCCUAGCGGUCUAAACCAAUGGUCAGAAAAUAUUUCAGAUAAUGCUUUUGUUAUUUUAUCUGUGCAAUUCCAAAUUUCUAUGAAGCUGAAAGAGAUGCGUAAUUAAGUGGCUUAUGAUUAAUUAAAUAUUGUACCUGAUUACCAAGCACAUUUUAAUUAAAGAUACAGUAUUGUGCAAAAAGAUAGCAACAUUGAACUUUCCUGUUAUAUAUCUUUUAGUAUCUAUUUUAUAAGUAAGGUUUAUAUAUUAUUUACAAGAAUAGUUAGAGCCUAUUUAUAUUUUCAUAUUAUCAUAUUUUUUGUAUCAUAAUAAAUAAAACACCAAAUUGUUUUA